CUGAGGGCUGCGUGGGUGCGGGUGAUGGCGGCGGGCACCUUCUGGUGCUGGGGCUCUGCCAGGAGCCGUAGCCAGCAUUCGUUCCAGGUACCUGAGGGCGAGGCGAGAAAUACAUAGCUGAAAGGAUUGGGAUGAAGUUUCAUAUGCAGAGCCUCAUGUGGUAGCUUGUUCUGCAGCUCUUCUGCUACACGCAGCAUGAGGAAAGAGGAAGUCCAGGAAGCUACACAGAAGUCUCAUGCAAGUGGUGCCUGUUGUUUUCCUGACCGGAGCCUGCUUUCUGAUGCUAAAGCAGAGUGCAGUUCCUGUGUAGAAACUGAGGACAAAAAAAAAUUUACCCGCUCCUCACUGUUGAGGAAGGAUUGUCCUGCUCCUUGCUGCGCUGCUGGCGCUACAAGGGAGGAAGAGGCAGGAGCUGAUGCUGAACAGAGAUGUUCACCCUGGAACGGGAAACGGCUUGGCUUCUUACCCUCACAAACCUGCCUCGCUGCGUGCGAAGAACCCGCUUCCGUCAGGGCGGAAGAUAAGUUUCUGAAGAACAAACUGUGCUCUGUGUUACUGGACCAAAGAAAAAGGAUUAGAGAAUGAACAACCCUAGG
This 596-nucleotide long non-coding RNA is filed under the name Struthio camelus australis. Its description in RNAcentral is "lncRNA (ENSSCUG00000016181.1)". The record is from RNAcentral. Lineage: Eukaryota; Metazoa; Chordata; Aves; Struthioniformes; Struthionidae.